CCCUCCCCACACGCCCGCUGUCCACGCGCUGCGGCCUUGGAGUAACUGCUGUUCUUAAAGGCUGCCUCCGUCCUGCCGCGCGGCCUUUAGAGGGUUGGAGCUGGCAGAACCGUAACUCCCUCUCUGAGGGUGAAUACGGGCCUUGAUUGCCAGAAGGGCCCUCGGCCGGGGACGCGGGAUGAUGCGGGGCCGGGAGAUGCUUUCCUGGAGGCUGAGAAACCUGGAGGGAGACCCCCAAAACUUCUCAGUUCGCCGACCCCUUGGUCCCAGAGGGAGAGGAGCAUCCCCAAAGAACAUUCAAGUCUGAGCCUCAAGGAGCCUCUGCGACUCGGUGUCUAGAUCCAGGAAAUGGAGAAUGAGCCGUGACUUUGGAUGCUUCACUCUUGUCCAUCAGGCUCGGAAUUGGUGAGCAUCUCCCACAUUACCGUCUCCAACGGAACAAGGUGCCCCAUUGGACAUUUCCUCUGCAUGGACCAGCCAUUCUCCAAAUCUGCCCCCAUGUCACCCCAGCUCCCCAUCGCAGUCACUUCUCACUCCUUGUCCCCUGUCCCCCUGAGUGACAGGACUUUUGCCAGUUAGGUCCUGUCCCUGUUUCUGAUCUUGGGUCCAUUCCCCAUGGUCCCUUUCUUGCUUGUGCCUUGGGAUCUCAGGCCUGUUGAAGUAGGAGGCAGGACUCAACUUCAGACCAGAUUGAAGACUGGCUGACACAGAAGAGGCACCAAAAGCACCUCUCUCUCCAUAAGACAUGCCCACCAGUGCCAUGACAGUUUACCAUUGCUAUGGCAAUGCCCAGAAGUUCUCACCCCUUUUCCAGACAUUUCUGCAUAAUCUACCCCUCAAUUGGCAUGUGAUCAAAAGUGGGUGUCAAAAUGACUGUGGAACUGUCCCUGAGCUGCUACUCUUGACAUGCUGGUUACAGGGUAGCCCGGCUCUGCAGGGACAGUCACGGAGCUGAAAAACUGCUGCCUAAUGAAGCUGUUUUCUUCUA
RNAcentral lists this long non-coding RNA (988 nucleotides) under Homo sapiens (human). Its description in RNAcentral is "HSALNT0333884". The record is from RNAcentral. Lineage: Eukaryota; Metazoa; Chordata; Mammalia; Primates; Hominidae.